This 253-nucleotide ribosomal RNA is filed under the name uncultured bacterium. Its description in RNAcentral is "partial 16S ribosomal RNA". It matches the Rfam family "Bacterial small subunit ribosomal RNA", at positions 524 to 776 of the family's 1533-position model. The record is from RNAcentral.
UACGUAGGGAGCAAGCGUUGUCCGGAAUCAUUGGGCGUAAAGAGCGCGUAGGUGGCUUUAUAAGUCCGUUGUGAAAGUCAAAGGCUCAACCUUUGAAAGCCGAUGGAUACUGUGAAGCUAGAGUACGGAAGAGGCGAGUGGAAUUCCUGGUGUAGCGGUGGAAUGCGCAGAUAUCAGGAGGAACACCAAUAGCGAAGGCAGCUCGCUGGGACGUUACUGACACUGAGGCGCGAAAGCGUGGGGAGCGAACAGG